Molecule: long non-coding RNA, 3388 nt
Filed under: Triticum aestivum (bread wheat)
Lineage: Eukaryota; Viridiplantae; Streptophyta; Magnoliopsida; Poales; Poaceae
Description: long non-coding RNA (TAES_LNC013360)
Source: RNAcentral
AAGGACUCCCCCUCGUUCUUCCCCCCUGGCCUCUCUCCUCACUCUCCCCCUCGUCUCCCUCGCUCGGCUCCCUCUCCUUCCCCAUUUCCCUAGCCCACCGCCGACGCGUCGUCGUCACCACUGCGGCCACCGGCGGCCCCGAACGCCGUGGCCGUGUCCAGGAGGUUCGCUGAGCUCCGCCACCUCGUCUGCGACUCCGAAUCAGAGCCGGGAGCCGCUUCACCCUCGCCUACGUCGUCUUCUUGUUCCUCGGGCCGGCGAGAUCGCCGCGAACGCCCCGUCAACUCCGGCGCCUCCCCGAGCACGCUGAGCUACUGCGCGACCUCGCUGUGAGCUCCUCUCCUUCUCCCCUCACUCCCCUGCUUAUUUCCGUGCUCGCAGCCGCCGGCCUCGACAUGGCCGUGCCCAUUACCGAAAACGAGCUCGCCGCCGUGACCACCGUAGUCCGAGCUCGCGUCCGAGCUCGUGGUGGAGCUCAUGGAGCUCGUAGGCGCCUAACGCCGCUCCCCGCGUCGCUUGUUAUACCCCAUUUCGCCGUAGCCGCCAGCACCCGAAUUCCGGCGUCCGCCACGGUCGACACCGCCGCCGAUUUAGGUCACCUCCGGCGAAACCUUUGCCACCCCACGACGCGCGCGAGCGCCAGCUUCCGAACGCAAGUGGAAUCGUGCGAUUUGGUGUGCUGUGGCGAAAAUUCGAGCCUCUCCGGCGAGCCAGCCGCCGCGGAGCGCUCGCCGGCGCGUUCCGGCGACCUCUCCGACGUGGCAAGUGGUGGCGUCCACCCGUAGACGCUGACAGCGGGCCCCGCAGCGCGUUUGACUUUGUUGACCGGGUCAAUGCGCAGCACUGUUCAUCCCCUGUUACUGACCAGUGCGCCCGUGCGUUAAUUAAACUAAUUAAGUUUUAAAAUUAAUCUAUUAAUUAACAUAGACACUGACAUGUGGGGCCCACAUCCUUAAUUAGCUGCUGAUAGUUUAAUUGAUUCUCUAUUAAGCCCUGAGUCACUGACCAGUUGGUCCCACUGGGCCCACAGGUCAGAUUUGACCAGUGAACGCCUCCUGUUGACCGCUGAUGCCAUGCCCACGGUUGACGUCAUUUCCCUUUUCGGGUCAACUCUGUUAAUAUAAAAAAAUCGAGAAAAUGCUUUAAUUUUUGAAAAAUUAUAUAAAAUAAACCGUAACUCCGAUGGAAAAACUUUAUACAUGAAAGUUGCUCAGAACGAUGAGACGAAUCCAAAUGCGCUCUCCGUUUAUCUGUCUCAUGCCUCUAACUACCUGAACAUGCAACCAUACCCCUCCAUUUCAUCUGUCCGGAAAGGCCAGACUUCGGGAAAACAUUCCCGGAUGUUCUCCUCCUUCACCGGUGUCAUGUAGCACUACGAUAGGCCACCUCUAGCAUCGCGUAUCGUAUUGUCAUGCAUUUGUUGCUAUGUAUUUAUUUGUUUCUUCCCCCUCUUCUCUCUCGGUAGACAACGACGUCGACGUAGCUCCCGAGGUCGACGCUGCUCAGGAGCCAGACGACGCAGUUGACGACCUUGCCCUUGCCGUCGAGCAGACAGGCAAGCACCCCCAUUUUGAGCAUUCCGGUAUCGCCCAUUCUCUUCUCUCUCAUGCUUGCACUAGAAUCGCUGCUGCUACUGCUUUACCUAUUCUGAUGCAUAGCAUGUUUAUUGUAACCUGCUGUUACCUACUGCUUAUCCUAAACUGCUUAGUUUAGGUUGGGUAGAGCCUGAUGAGAGAUCCACUUGUCCCAACUGACCCGCUGGACUCUCUGAAGACCCGUGCAACGGGAUCGAAGAUCAGACCCGGGCACCGCACGUCACUUCCCCCUAAGUUGCUCGACACUAAUGGGUUACCGUCACGUGCCGAGGGUGACUCCUCUUCAGCACGUUUGAUGUUAACCUUGUAGGUUAUCUAGUCGGUCGUGGUAAGCGAGGGUGAAUCCUCCUACACCACCCCCCGAUAGCGACGCCAUCUUGCAACUUCUCAAGUGUGGACUUCGAGGGUGAAUCCUCUUCCGUUCACCUUGACGACAACAUCAGGUGGAAUUCCGUCGAGGGUGACUCCUCAGGGUUCCCCUUGGUGUCAGACACACAGUUACAUUGGUUACUGAGACUUGACAUUAAACCAUGAUACUAAAGACGGGUCGGCCCUGAGGGGUACCCGCGCGAGCUGAUAUGCGAAGUGAUGUGGAGACGGGUUGACCUGAGAGGUGCCCGCGAGAUAAUGACGAGGCGUGGCCGGGCAUUCUUAGCCCUUGCCACAAGUCCUCGAGACGGGGCGACGGGGUCACAUCGAUCGUGAGUCUCUGCUCGUUACCGCGCGCUCCUAAUCCACGAGCGGUUUCGAUAUUUGAUCCGAGGGGCCUCUGGCCCGAUAGCACUAACCAUCACGUGGGCAUAGUAUGGGCGUUCUGCGUCGUAUACUUCAACCGGAGCUUAAUUGACGUCAGCGAGGAGCGGCCCGUUUUGGAUUGGACUGGGAACGCAACUGCACUUGUAUAAGGGGUUGCUAGGUUUGCUUCCAAAACAUCCUCGCGGCAUAUUGUUUGGCCGAGGGCGGGCAUGACCCAGUAAAGUGUGUCCGGCCGGAGUUAAGCAAGCGUGGUGGGUAAGUUGGUGCACCCCUGCAGGGAAGAAUCUUCUAUCGAUAGCCUGUCCUACGGUAACGGACACUCGGAGUUGUAUCCCGUUCGGUACAACUAGAACUUGAUGAUGUGAUGAGAAAUGGAUACUAGGGCUCUGGGAUUGCUUUCUCGCAGGGAGUCGAGAAAGGAUCUCAGGCCGAGGUUGAUGAUACUACCACUACUUUACAUUAUGUUACUCUACUCUCUUCUAUGCUGCAAGACUGAAGAUGCUGAAGAUGCCGGUCUUCGAUAGGACUAGGUUUUCCCCCUCUAUUCUGGCAUUUCUGCAGCUCAGUCCACAUAUACAGCCCUUCCUUGAAAAUGUUGCAUUUAUAGUGUAGAUCCUUGCUUGUUGAGUACUUCGGAUGAGUACUCACGUUUGCUUUACUUUCUUUUUCCCCCAUAUUCUUUCGAUGCCGACAGACGACGGAGCCCCUGAGACUGCCGCCCCAGUCGACGACUACGGCUACUACUACUACCCUCCCGACGAGUACUUCUACGAGGAGCCGACGGACGACCAGGAGUAGGAUCGGAGGGUCCAGGGCAGGAGGCCUUCGCCUUUCGAUCGUAGCUUUUAUUUUACCCCGCCUUCUAAAGGCUUAUCUCUCUCUCUAUGUAAUAGUCUGUACUCAGAUUCUGAUGCUUCCGCUGACGCUUGUAUGCCAUCGAGCUUAUGUAUUCGAGCCCUCGAGGCCCUGGCUUGUAAUAUAAAGCUUGUAUGACUUUAUUUAUGUUUUAGAGUUGUGUUGUGAUAUCUUCAAGUGAG